This 806-nucleotide ribosomal RNA is filed under the name Pseudo-nitzschia brasiliana. RNAcentral's name for it is "LSU rRNA". It matches the Rfam family "Eukaryotic large subunit ribosomal RNA", at positions 30 to 915 of the family's 3401-position model. The record is from RNAcentral. Lineage: Eukaryota; Bacillariophyta; Bacillariophyceae; Bacillariales; Bacillariaceae.
GAAUUUAAGCAUAUAAUUAAGCGGAGGAAAAGAAACUAACUAGGAUUCCCUCAGUAACGGCGAGUGAAGCGGGACUAGCUCAGGAUGUGAAUCUGCGCUCUAUUGGCGCCGAAUUGUGGUCUGUAGACUUUGACGUUAUCUGCCGGGCCAAGUUCCUUGGAAAAGGACAGCUGAGAGGGUGAGACUCCCGUCCGCCUGGUUGAGUGAGUCAUUUGUCAACGAGUCGAGUUGUUUGGGAUUGCAGCUCUAAUUUGGUGGUAAAUUCCAUCUAAAGCUAAAUAUUGGUGGGAGACCGAUAGCGUACAAGUACCGUGAGGGAAAGAUGCAAAGAACUUUGAAAAGAGAGUUAAAGAGUACCUGAAACUGCUGAAACGGAAGCGAAGGAAACCAGUGUUUGUUUGUUCAUAUUUCCCUGGCCACUUGUGGUUUGGGCGCUGUGAGCUUGCGUGAGUUUGGGUUGGUUGAUCCCUUUGGAAGAGCGCAGUCAGAGUUGAUGUCUGUUGCUAGCACUGGGUUUGACUGAUGCAGACGAAAUGGUUUUCUUUACCCCGUCUUGAAACACGGACCAAGGAGUCUAACAUAUGUGCGAGUACAGGGGUGUCAAACCCCGGUGCGUAAUGAAAGUGACAGUGGUUGGAAUUUUGCACAAUCCGCCGGCCUCAAUCCUUCGGGAGAACGGUCUGAGUGUGAGCAUACAUGUUGGGACCCGAAAGAUGGUGAACUAUGCCUGAAUAGGGUGAAGCCAGGGGAAACUCUGGUGGAGGCUCGUAGCGAUUCUGACGUGCAAAUCGAUCGUCAAAUUUGGG